AGCGUAUAUUAAAGUUGUUGCAGUUAAAAAGCUCGUAGUUGAAUUUCGGGGUUAGUAGGUUGGUCAUGCCUCUGGUAUGUACUGAUCUCACUGAUUCCUCCCUCUUGACGAACUGUAAUGUCAUUAAUUUGGUGUUGCAGGAAAUCAGGACUGUUACUUUGAAAAAAUUAGAGUGUUUAAAGCAGGCUUAGGCUUGAAUACAUUAGCAUGGAAUAAUGAAAUAGGACGUUUGAACCUAUUUUGUUGGUUUCUAGGAUCGACGUAAUGAUUAAUAGGGAUAGUUGGGGGCAUUAGUAUUCAAUUGUCAGAGGUGAAAUUCUUGGAUUUAUUGAAGACUAACUACUGCGAAAGCAUUUGCCAAGGAUGUUUUCAUUAAUCAAGAACGAAAGUUAGGGGAUCGAAGACGAUCAGAUACCGUCGUAGUCUUAACCAUAAAC
RNAcentral lists this ribosomal RNA (437 nucleotides) under uncultured Glomeromycotina. Its description in RNAcentral is "SSU rRNA". It matches the Rfam family "Eukaryotic small subunit ribosomal RNA", at positions 596 to 1037 of the family's 1831-position model. Lineage: Eukaryota; Fungi; Glomeromycota. The record is from RNAcentral.